Sipha flava (yellow sugarcane aphid) is the source of this 431-nucleotide long non-coding RNA. RefSeq lists it as uncharacterized. Lineage: Eukaryota; Metazoa; Arthropoda; Insecta; Hemiptera; Aphididae. The transcript is spliced from 5 exons. The record is from RefSeq and is a predicted model, not a curated record.
UUUUUUAUGUUUCUUUUUCAGAACUUGGGAUUUUUUUUUUGGACCGACCCAAAUCAAUUUUCCUCCGGGAGCCGGGGAUCCCCUUUUCAUUUCUCCUUCUGAACUCUACACUUUGAAUAUUUAAUGAACUUGGGAUUUUUUUUUGGACCGACCCAAAUCAAUUUUCCUCCGGGAGCCGGGGAUCCCCUUUUCAUUUCUCCUUCUGAACUCUACACUUUGAAUAUUUAAUGAACCUGAAUUUUUCCUUCCUUCGACCUUAACAAAGUGUCCCUCUAGAGCCAGAACCUGGAUUUUUUUUUUGGAUCUACCCGAAUCAAUUUUCCUCCGGGAGCCGGGGAUCCCCUUUUCGUUUUGGUUUUUGAAUUUUAGACUUAAAAUAUUUAAUGAACUGGGAUAUUUUUUUCAUCUAUCAAAAUCAAAAUUGUUUCAGG